Molecule: ribosomal RNA, 388 nt
Filed under: uncultured bacterium
Lineage: Bacteria
Description: bacterial SSU rRNA
Rfam family: Bacterial small subunit ribosomal RNA
Source: RNAcentral
AUUGAACGCUGGCGGCAUGCCUUACACAUGCAAGUCGAACGGCAGCACGGGAGCAAUCCUGGUGGCGAGUGGCGAACGGGUGAGUAAUAUAUCGGAACGUGCCCGGUCGUGGGGAUAACGUAGCGAAAGCUACGCUAAUACCGCAUACGAUCUACGGAUGAAAGCGGGGGAUCGCAAGACCUCGCGCGAUUGGAGCGGCCGAUAUCAGAUUAGGUAGUCGGUGAGGUAAAGGCUCACCAAGCCGACGAUCUGUAGCUGGUCUGAGAGGACGACCAGCCACACUGGGACUGAGACACGGCCCAGACUCCUACGGGAGGCAGCAGUGGGGAAUUUUGGGACAAUGGGCGCAAGCCUGAUCCAGCAAUGCCGCGUGCAGGAUGAAGGCCUC